RNAcentral lists this ribosomal RNA (448 nucleotides) under uncultured bacterium. RNAcentral's name for it is "bacterial SSU rRNA". It matches the Rfam family "Bacterial small subunit ribosomal RNA", at positions 355 to 825 of the family's 1533-position model. The record is from RNAcentral.
UCGGGAAUUUUGGGCAAUGGGGGAAACCCUGACCCAGCAACGCCGCGUGAAGGAUGAAGUAUUUCGGUAUGUAAACUUCGAAAGAAUAGGAAGAAUAAAUGACGGUACUAUUUAUAAGGUCCGGCUAACUACGUGCCAGCAGCCGCGGUAAUACGUAGGGACCAAGCGUUGUUCGGAUUUACUGGGCGUAAAGGGCGCGUAGGCGGCAUGACAAGUCACUUGUGAAAUCUCUGGGCUUAACCCAGAACGGCCAAGUGAUACUGUCGCGCUAGAGUGCAGAAGGGGCAAUCGGAAUUCUUGGUGUAGCGGUGAAAUGCGUAGAUAUCAAGAGGAACACCUGAGGUGAAGACGGGUUGCUGGGCUGACACUGACGCUGAGGCGCGAAAGCCAGGGGGAGCAAACGGGAUUAGAUACCCUCGUAGUCCCUGAGCGGGCUGGCAAGGCGCAU